Molecule: ribosomal RNA, 488 nt
Filed under: uncultured bacterium
Lineage: Bacteria
Description: bacterial SSU rRNA
Rfam family: Bacterial small subunit ribosomal RNA
Source: RNAcentral
GACGAACGCUGGCGGCGUGCUUAACACAUGCAAGUCGAGGGAGCGCUUUCGGGCGCGACCGGCGAACGGGUGCGUAACACGUGAGCGACCUGCCCAACUGCGGGGGAUAGCCGGCCCAACGGCCGGGUAAUACCGCAUACGCUCGCUGGGUGGCAUUGCCUGGCGAGGAAACUUCUGGGGCGGUUGGAGGGGCUCGCGGCCUAUCAGCUAGUUGGCGGGGUAACGGCCCACCAAGGCGACGACGGGUAGCUGGUCUGAGAGGAUGGCCAGCCACAUUGGGACUGAGAGACGGCCCAGACUCCUACGGGAGGCAGCAGUGGGGAAUAUUGCGCAAUGGCCGCAAGGCUGACGCAGCGACGCCGCGUGGAGGAUGACGCCUUUCGGGGUGUAAACUCCUGUUGCCCGGGACGAACCUCAGGUUUCGACCUGACUGACGGUACCGGGUGAGGAAGCACCGGCUAACUCCGUGCCAGCAGCCGCCGUAACAC